UUGUGGCUAGGAGGAGGAUACUUCUUGGAGUUUCACUUUUAACUUACCUUUCUUCAUCUCCAUAUUUGUCAAAUUGGGCUCUUUCAUUGCUUUGGCGUUUGCCUAUUGAUUACGGCUAAUUUGACAUCAAGAUUCAAUCUUUUUGAGAUUUUUUGCUUGUUUGUUUGAUAUGUGAAUUGGGGAGUUUCAAAGUUCAAAACAUUUUUUUUGUGGGGGUGGAGAGAUUAGUUGGAAAGGAGUAGCUAACCGAUUGAAGGAAAUAAUUUGAUUUGUAGCAGGGAAAGAUAUGGCAAUUUGCAAUUGCUUUUGUGGUCCAGUAGGGAGAAGAAGCAAGAAAGAUAAGGUGGGUGUUUCAAUUUUUAAUACAACCCUGUCUUUCUUUAGUUUGAACAUGCAUGUCAAAGUUUAUUAAUUUUUUAGCUUAUCUGUAUGUUUUGUUGAUUUAGGGGGAGAAGGGAGCUAAAAAGACUACUGAUGUGGCUGUACUAGUUGAAGGUUCUGUAAACUCUAGU
This 512-nucleotide long non-coding RNA is filed under the name Solanum tuberosum (potato). Its description in RNAcentral is "long non-coding RNA (STUB_LNC011332)". Lineage: Eukaryota; Viridiplantae; Streptophyta; Magnoliopsida; Solanales; Solanaceae. The record is from RNAcentral.